UGAAAAUUUGGAUUCUGGGGGUGUUUUUGAAAAAAAAUCAGAAACCGGGGGUCAAAACGCAAUUUAAAAAAAUUGUGCAACGUCAGCAGCCUCGGCCAACCAGGACCCGCCGCGUGGCAAGGCAACGCUGACCAGGGAACGGGGCACGUGGGCGAUCCGCGUGCGUGCGAUCGGACGACCCAGAUUCAAUCAGGCACGAACGGCCCAGAUUGCAUCGCGAUGGACGGUCCAGAUUUAAUCCAAAUUAAAUCGCGAUCGAACGGUCCAGAUUUAAUCUUGAUGGACGGUUGAGAUUAAAAGGCAAAUGGUAUAAAUAACCCCACCCACACCUGACCACAAAAACCCUAGCCGCCAGUGCCUUGCUGGAGAAGAAGAACCAGACGCCGGAGGAGCCGCCCGCCGCCGCACCAGGGAAGUUUUCGACCGCCGAUCGAGGUAAAUUUUCUCCCCCUUGCUCGUUUUCCGAUGCUAAGUCCGCCUAUGGCCAAACUGGAGCCAAACCACUGGCCAAACGGCUGGAAAACCCAGCCGAAGCCCAGCAGCGCCGCCGCGUCCCUCCUCGGUUUUUGCCUCCAAUGAGGCACUUCCCGGCCUCUGUUCGAUGUAAAUUUUAUACCACUGUGAUCACCGUUCUUUUCUCUACAGGUUGAUUGGAGCCAAACAUCAAAACGCGACUCACGCCGGAGGAGCUGCCGCACCCGAGAGCACCGUCGCCAGUAAGUUUCAGUUUUUCGUGAUUUUUUUGCCCACCGAGGGCCCUAGGGUUGUUUUAUCGCAGGGACCGAUGCAAGUGUGGCCGAAUUCGACCGAAAACAGCCAACCCGAUGCGAAUCGCCGCCGCUUGCGGCGGCGCCGUCGCCGGAGCACGGCGAAGUCACUGUGUCAGAAUUGCGAUAUUGGUCGAAAGGGGCCCUAGGUAUGAUUUGAGAUUUUUUGGGACACGUGCAGGUACCGGUAGUGCAUUUCAGUUUUCCGAGAAAAAUUCAGAAAAAUUAGGGACA
Molecule: long non-coding RNA, 1001 nt
Filed under: Carica papaya (papaya)
Lineage: Eukaryota; Viridiplantae; Streptophyta; Magnoliopsida; Brassicales; Caricaceae
Description: long non-coding RNA (CPAP_LNC015984)
Source: RNAcentral